GGCCCGAUGGCGCAAUGGUAGCGCGUCAGAUUCCAGAUCCGACUCGGAGUCUCCUGAAGGUUGGGCGUUCAAAUCGCCCUCGGGUCA
Transfer RNA from Stagonospora sp., 87 nucleotides. It matches the Rfam family "tRNA". From Rfam's summary of the family: Transfer RNA (tRNA) molecules are approximately 80 nucleotides in length. Their secondary structure includes four short double-helical elements and three loops (D, anti-codon, and T loops). The record is from Rfam. Lineage: Eukaryota; Fungi; Ascomycota; Dothideomycetes; Pleosporales; Massarinaceae.